RNAcentral lists this ribosomal RNA (253 nucleotides) under uncultured bacterium. RNAcentral describes it as "partial 16S ribosomal RNA". It matches the Rfam family "Bacterial small subunit ribosomal RNA", at positions 524 to 776 of the family's 1533-position model. The record is from RNAcentral.
UACAGAGGGUGCGAGCGUUAAUCGGAAUUACUGGGCGUAAAGCGUGCGUAGACGGUUAUCUAAGUCAGAUGUGAAAGCCCCGGGCUCAACCUGGGAAUUGCAUUUGAGACUGAAUAGCUAGGGUACGGUAGAGGGAAGUGGAAUUUCCGGUGUAGCGGUGAAAUGCGUAGAUAUCGGAAGGAACAUCAGUGGCGAAAGCGACUUCCUGGACCAGUACCGACGUUCAGGCACGAAAGCGUGGGGAGCAAACAGG